CGUGUAGGCGGCUCAUCAAGUCUGGUGUGAAAUCGCAGGGCUUAACCCUGCAUAUGCGCUGGAAACUGGUGGGCUUGAGUUCUUGAGGGGAAGCUGGAAUUCCAGGUGUAGGGGUGAAAUCUGUAGAUAUCUGGAAGAACACCGGUGGCGAAGGCGAGCUUCUAUCAGAGGACUGACGCUGAGGCGCGAAAGCAUGGGGAGCAAACAGGAUUAGAUACCCUGGUAGUCCACGCUGUAAACGAUGUGCACUAGGCGUGGGGCCCGUACGGGUUCUGUGCCGUAGUUAACGUGUUAAGUGCACCGCCUGGGGAGUAUGCUCGCAAGGGUGAA
RNAcentral lists this ribosomal RNA (330 nucleotides) under uncultured bacterium. RNAcentral's name for it is "bacterial SSU rRNA". It matches the Rfam family "Bacterial small subunit ribosomal RNA", at positions 568 to 898 of the family's 1533-position model. The record is from RNAcentral.